This 198-nucleotide unclassified non-coding RNA is filed under the name uncultured Lachnocladiaceae. Its description in RNAcentral is "sequence contains ITS2". Lineage: Eukaryota; Fungi; Basidiomycota; Agaricomycetes; Russulales; Lachnocladiaceae. The record is from RNAcentral.
AUUCCUCCACCCACCAUCCUUUUUGUGUUGGUCGGGCUGGGAUCUGGGGGUUUGUGGGUCCUCUCUGGUCCACUCUCCUUGAAUGCAUGAGUGAAGACCUGUACAGGCCUCGGUGUGAUAGGAUAUCUACGCCACGGCUCUGUGUGGAAAUAGUGCUUUGCUUCGAACCGUCCCUCUCUGGGACAAGCUCUAUCGAAC